AGAUUGAACGGGGGCGGCGGGUUUAACACACACAAGUAGAGCGGUAACAGAGAGAAGUUUGCUUUUNUGGUGANGAGNGGCGGACGGGUGAGUAACGCNUGGGUAUACNCUUUGUAGUGGGGGAUAANUNCCCGAAAGAUAAGAUAAUACCGCAUAUGUUAUACGGGAGAANGGAGGGGUCUUUCGGGCCUUUCGCUAUUAGAUGAGCCUAGGUCGGAUUAGUUAGUUGGUGAGGUAAUGGCUCACCAAGACCGCGAUCCGUAACUGGUCUGAGAGGAUGAUCAGUCACACUGGAAGUGAGACACGGUCCAGACUCCUACGGGAGGCAGCAGUGGGGAAUAUUGGACAAUGGGGGAAACCCUGAUCCAGCCAUGCCGCGUGUGUGAAGAAGGUCUUAGGAUUGUAAAGCACUUUAAGUUGGGAGGAAGAGCAGUUAACUAAUAUUGACUGUUUGACGU
Molecule: ribosomal RNA, 458 nt
Filed under: uncultured bacterium
Lineage: Bacteria
Description: bacterial SSU rRNA
Rfam family: Bacterial small subunit ribosomal RNA
Source: RNAcentral